This 463-nucleotide ribosomal RNA is filed under the name uncultured bacterium. Its description in RNAcentral is "partial 16S ribosomal RNA". It matches the Rfam family "Bacterial small subunit ribosomal RNA", at positions 28 to 507 of the family's 1533-position model. The record is from RNAcentral.
GACGAACGCUGGCGGCAUGCCUAACACAUGCAAGUCGAACGGACUUAUAAGAGCUUGCUUUUUUCAGGUAUUGGCGGCCGGGUGAGUUACACGUUUGCAAUCUGCCUCUGAGCUGGAGACAGCUUCUGGUAACGGAUGGUAACACCCCAUCAAAUAUAAAUCUCGCAUGAUUGAUAUAUCAAUGAAAUUCGUUCAGAGAUGGGCUCGCGUCUGAUUAGAUAGUUGGUGAGGUAACGGCUCACCAAGUCGACGAUCAGUAGCCGGACUGAGAGGUUGAACGGCCACAUUGGGACUGAGACACGGCCCAGACUCCUACGGGAGGCAGCAGUGGGGAAUAUUGCACAAUGGAGGGAACUCUGAUGCAGCGAUGCCGCGUGGAGGAAGAAGGUUUUCGGAUUGUAAACUCCUUUUAUCAGGGACGAUAAUGACGGUACCUGAAGAAAAAGCGCCGGCUAACUACGUG